This 639-nucleotide long non-coding RNA is filed under the name Bos taurus (domestic cattle). Its description in RNAcentral is "long non-coding RNA NONBTAT006921". Lineage: Eukaryota; Metazoa; Chordata; Mammalia; Artiodactyla; Bovidae. The record is from RNAcentral.
CUAGUAAAACUCUCAAAUUAGAAUUCUCUAUCCUUUCCCUACACAGAAACAGUAUUCAAUAAAGGAUCUGGUUUGUGGGCUUCUUUUUUAAACCAGCUAUCUGCCUAUCUGUUCUUGAUUCUCCAGGGUUACUAAGAAAAUGCAGGAAAACAAUUCAUAGCUUAAAAGAGGUUAAAAAAUAACACACUGAACUAUCUCUUAGGCAAGUUUUCUUUUCCAAUGUUAUGGCACAAAGGGAGGCUAAGUAAAAGGAUUCAUGCCACAGAAUUUUCAAUAACAAAAAAAUCAUUUAUAGAGAGGAAAUGACUAAAAAUUAACAAUGUUUUAUGGCACAGAAUAUGAAUCUACAGCUAGGAUAAAAGGGAUGAUAUUUCUUUAAGUGGUAGAAACUGUAAACUAAAUGAUAUAGAAGAGAUUACUACUGUAAGAAGAAACCUUUAAAAAGAAAAUAUAAUCUCCAUUACCACUUAACCAAACAUAGAUUCUUGCUAAGAAUAAACUUAAACUCAAUUUGCUUACAUCAUUUAUGUUUCACAAAGGCCCAAUCACUAGUAAAGUCAUUCUUUUGCUACCUUUUCCUCCUCUUACAUACUCAGUAUAACAAUUUUUUGAGUCAUUUACUGUCUUGUGUGCCUAUAA